RNAcentral lists this transfer RNA (73 nucleotides) under Dipodomys ordii (Ord's kangaroo rat). It matches the Rfam family "tRNA". From Rfam's summary of the family: Transfer RNA (tRNA) molecules are approximately 80 nucleotides in length. Lineage: Eukaryota; Metazoa; Chordata; Mammalia; Rodentia; Heteromyidae. The record is from Rfam by way of RNAcentral.
GGGAGUAUGGCUCAAGUGGUAGAGCACCUGCCUACCAAGCAGGAGGCUGUGAGUUCAAACACUAGUACUGCCA